CCCCCUGCAUCUCAGUAUUUCCUCUCCCCUCCAUAAUUCAAUUAUUAAACAAUUUUGCUUUUCUAGGAUACAGGAAUGGACUGGGAGCAGGAGCCUUCCCUAGAGCUGGAGCCCAGACAGCAUAUAGAAACGGAUUGGGUAAUGGGGCUUUCCCAGGAGCUGGAGCCCAGCCAGGCCUUGGAGCUGGAACCAAGCCUCAGAAACCAGGAUAUGGAAAUGGGCUGGGAAAUGGCGGCUUCCCUGGGGUUGGAGCCCAGCCAGGAUUUGGAGUAGGAACCAAGCCUCAGAAAGCAGGAAAUGGGAAUGGUCUACAAGCUGGGGCCUUCCCAGGAGCCAGAGCUCAGCCAGGUCCCUGUAAUAGGGGCUCCAUUCCAGCUCCCAAUGGAGUAGGGCCCGCAACAGGGAGUCCCUCAGAAAAAGGAGGAUUCAGGGCUCAGAAUGGCUAUGGACCAGUUUCUCCCUCAGGCCUUGAAGAUGGAUUGAAGACUCAUAAAACAGGACUCAGAAAUGUGUUUGGAGCUGGACCCUUCUCAGGGGCCAAGAUUCAGCCAGGCUAUGGUGCCAUGAAUGGGUAUAGAGCAGGUCUUAGAGGAGGAGCCAAACCACAGAAAACAGGCUAUGGAAAUGGAUUAGGAGCAGGUGCUUUCCCAGAGUCUGGGCCACAGCCAGGGUUUGGGACCCCAAAUGGUUUUGGAGUAGGCCUAGGUGGUGUGAAGCCUCAAAAAGCAGUUUAUAGCAAUGGACUGGGAGCUGGAACCUUUUCUGAGGUCAGGGCCCAGCAAGCAGGUUUCCCUGGGGCCAGAAGUUAUCCAGCCAAUGGCUACAGCAAUGGUGGGGCCAGCUUCUUUGGUGCUCAGGGAGUCCCCUUUCUCCCUGGAGGUUCAGACUCUGGGGCCAAAACUGCUAAGUAUGACUAUGGAAAUGGGGUAGGCGAAGGCUCCUACCCUGCGGAUAGAAGCGCGCCAGGUCUCUAUGGUCAGUUAAGACCAGAGGCAGUCCCCGGGACUUACGGUGGGCCAGAUGUGAAGCACAGCUUCAAUGGCUUCCUGGGAAAUGGCUAUGUAGGUCGCUGUCCUCCAGGGAAAUGUUGAGCCUAAAGGGUUCCCUCCAAUAUCCCCCAUGUGAAGAUCUUCAGGGGAGCUCGGAGCCUAAGACCUGGCCACCUUACUGCUGUCAGGUUUUUUGGAAAAAAAACCAGGCUCCUUGGGAGGGGAGUCUCCCCUCUGCCCCAUCAGGGUCUUUCUUUGGUCCUUUAACCCAGUCUUAUAAGGGGCCCCUCACAGCAGAGAGGAGGAGGAGGAGAUCAAGGGCCUGUUAAUAAAAGAUUUAAAUUCACAAGUUUGGUGGUCCA
This 1351-nucleotide long non-coding RNA is filed under the name Phascolarctos cinereus (koala). RNAcentral's name for it is "lncRNA (ENSPCIG00000017314.2)". Lineage: Eukaryota; Metazoa; Chordata; Mammalia; Diprotodontia; Phascolarctidae. The record is from RNAcentral.